AUUGAACGCUGGCGGCAGGCCUAACACAUGCAAGUCGAGCGGAUGAAGGGAGCUUGCUCCUGGAUUCAGCGGCGGACGGGUGAGUAAUGCCUAGGAAUCUGCCUGGUAGUGGGGGAUAACGUCCGGAAACGGGCGCUAAUACCGCAUACGUCCUGAGGGAGAAAGUGGGGGAUCUUCGGACCUCACGCUAUCAGAUGAGCCUAGGUCGGAUUAGCUAGUUGGUGGGGUAAAGGCCUACCAAGGCGACUAUCCGUAACUGGUCUGAGAGGAUGAUCAGUCACACUGGAACUGAGACACGGUCCAGACCCCUACGGGAGGCAGCAGUGGGGAAUAUUGGACAAUGGGCGAAAGCCUGAUCCAGCCAUGCCGCGUGUGUGAAGAAGGUCUUCGGAUUGUAAAGCACUUUAAGUUGGGAGGAAGGGCAGUAAGUUAAUACCUUGCUGUUUUGACGUUACCAACAGAAUAAGCACCGGCUAACUUCGUG
Molecule: ribosomal RNA, 484 nt
Filed under: uncultured bacterium
Lineage: Bacteria
Description: partial 16S ribosomal RNA
Rfam family: Bacterial small subunit ribosomal RNA
Source: RNAcentral